Molecule: long non-coding RNA, 736 nt
Filed under: Struthio camelus australis
Lineage: Eukaryota; Metazoa; Chordata; Aves; Struthioniformes; Struthionidae
Description: lncRNA (ENSSCUG00000014027.1)
Source: RNAcentral
UUGUAGAGCACUCCGUUGGAUGAUACCUCUCUUAACAACACAAGCAGCUCUGCUCCCCGUGUUUCCUUCAUUGCAUGUGCCUCCGUUUUGUAUUUUCAAGGCUGGGAGAGGCUAUCCUACCUAAGGUCUUAGAAAUGCUUUCCAGUGUCAGAUCAAAUUAGUGUUUCCUAUGACUGAAGCCACUGAAACUUUGUGUGAUGAGGAGGAACGUCACGAGAGCAUGGAAGAAAAUUGCCUGCUGAUGACAAUUUAUGAUGACGUAUGGUGUUAUCUCCUGGAGCUGCCUCCUUUUCCAGCACUUCUGCGAGUAUGCUUUCGGUCAUGCCUUACACUACACCUGCCCAUGGUCCUGGAGUGCCCGACGGCUCACCAGAGCCGCAGCUCUCCAUGUGGCAGGAGAAAUGGCUGCGCCGUUGCACCUUCAACUAGAGCAGCCGGCUCAGCUGUCUCAGCCUUUGAAAGCGAAACAAGGAUAAAAGAACACCAAAGAGAAACAGCGGCGCUCCAUGCCACAAAAGCCCAGAGCCUCGCGCUGAGCAAGUCGCCCUCAAAUCACCCGCGGCGUGGAAGCGCGUCGUGCCCCGCUCACGUGGGACGGGGCGAUGGAGAUCCAAAUGGGAACGGACGCUCGGGUUGUUCUGCUCAUCUGCAAUGGGUCAGCAGCGGAGCCGCAGCCUCCACACGCGCUCCCUGCCUCGGCGCUGCUGUCGGCGGACUCGCGCCAAGGAGACCGUGA